GGCCAGUUUACAGCCCAGAUGUUUAACAGACUGACAGGUGAUGUGCACCUUAGAUAAGGACAUCAGAUGAAUGGAAUAGAAUAUUACUGUUCUAUAAGAAAUGGGGAACUGAUUCCAGAAAAGCCUGGUAAGACUUAACAUGAAGUGAUGCUGAGUGAGGUGAGCAGAACCAGGAGAACGUUGUGCACAACAACAAGAUUUUGUGAUGAUCAAUUCUGAAGGACGUGGCUCUUUUCAGCAAUGAGCAUCAGUGAAGCAACUCAGCACGUGAUCCCUUCUUUCUGGUCUCUGAUUCUCUUUUGCUAAUCCCACCCGGAGUCUGCAACUGGGACAGCAAUAGCUCCUGCCGGGGAUCUACCAGAAGAAGAAGAUUCGUUCAUGCCAUUGCCAGACUUUUAGGCUAAAUCCCAGAUUCCUCUUUUCUCUUCUAUUGGGCAGGAGGAGGAGAUAAUGAUUUUAACGUCUCCUCAGGCUCAGUUCUUUCUCUGGAGAUGGACCGCACUACUUUUCACCAUAAAUCCUUCAGAACUGUUUUGGAUCAUAGUAUUGCUGAGAAUAGUUCAGUUAUUCACAAGCAUCCUGCUUGAAAUCUGAAAUCAGAAUAGUAUACCAUCACAAUCCUCGAUAACAACUUGUUCAGCCAUUCUUCAAUUGCUGGACAUCCCCUCACUUUCCAGCUCUUUCUCACCAUUAAAAGCUGUUACAAACAUUUUUGUUUUGUUAAAAUCUCUUUGGGAUACAAAGCCAAUAGCAGUACUGCUUGAUCAAAGCCCACAU
RNAcentral lists this long non-coding RNA (777 nucleotides) under Sarcophilus harrisii (Tasmanian devil). RNAcentral describes it as "lncRNA (ENSSHAG00000031638.1)". Lineage: Eukaryota; Metazoa; Chordata; Mammalia; Dasyuromorphia; Dasyuridae. The record is from RNAcentral.